GCGGCGCUCCCUUCCCCGCGCAUUCUCGCGACACACCUGCCACACUCCCUCCUACCACGACGCAUCACGGCGGAGGACUCGGGCUGCCGGAUCGUCUACAUCUGCCGGGACCCCAAGGACGCAUUUAUCUCCUCGUGGUUCUUCACCAAGAAAACCGUGGUGGCGGUCGCUGCGCGGGCACAAGCCGGCGAGGAGCCGCCGCCGUACACGUUUGUGGAGGCGUUCGAGCUCUUCUGUGAUGGCAUAUGUGUCAGCGGCCCGCAGUGGCAGCACGUGUUGAGCUACUGGGAGGCGAGCAGGAGGCAGCCGGAGAAGGUGCUCUUCCUCCGGUACGAGGAGAUGCUACGGAACCCUGCUAGCAACGUGAAGAAGCUGGCGGAGUUCAUGGGGUGCGCCUUCUCCGGCGAGGAGGAGGCAGCCGGGGUGGUGCACGACAUCGUGGAGCUGUGCAGCCUCGAGAGCCUCAAGAACAUGGACGUGAACAAGAGUGGCAGCCAUGGUCCGCUGGCGCACGAGUCCUUCUUUAGGAAGGGUGUGGCCGGGGAUUGGAGCAACCACAUCACGCCCGCCAUGGCGGAGAGGCUCGACAAGAUCGUCGAGGACGCGCUGCAAGGCUCGGGAUUGACCUUUGAUGUCGCAGCAGAGCGGUCUGCAUGA
This 657-nucleotide ribosomal RNA is filed under the name Triticum aestivum (bread wheat). Its description in RNAcentral is "partial small subunit ribosomal RNA". The record is from RNAcentral. Lineage: Eukaryota; Viridiplantae; Streptophyta; Magnoliopsida; Poales; Poaceae.